Molecule: ribosomal RNA, 520 nt
Filed under: uncultured Glomus
Lineage: Eukaryota; Fungi; Glomeromycota; Glomeromycetes; Glomerales; Glomeraceae
Description: SSU rRNA
Rfam family: Eukaryotic small subunit ribosomal RNA
Source: RNAcentral
AGCAGCCGCGGUAAUUCCAGCUCCAAUAGCGUAUAUUAAAGUUGUUGCAGUUAAAAAGCUCGUAGUUGAAUUUCGGGAUCAAAUUGUCGGUCGUGCCUCGGUACGUACUGGUAUUAUUGGUUCCUCCCUUCUGACGAACCACGAUGUCAUUAAUUUGGUGUCAUGGGAAAUCAGGACUGUUACUUUGAAAAAUUAGAGUGUUUAAAGCAGGCUCGCGCUUGAAUACAUUAGCAUGGAAUAAUGAAAUAGGACGUUUGAUUCUAUUUUGUUGGUUUCUAGGAUCGACGUAAUGAUUAAUAGGGAUAGUUGGGGGCGAUUAGUAUUCAAUUGUCAGAGGUGAAAUUCUUGGAUUUAUUGAAGACUAACUACUGCGAAAGCAUUUGCCAAGGAUGUUUUCAUUAAUCAAGAACGAAAGUUAGGGGAUCGAAGACGAUCAGAUACCGUCGUAGUCUUAACCAUAAACUAUGCCGACUGGGGAUCGGAUGAUGUUAAUUUUUUAAUGACUCAUUCGGCGCCUUAC